ACUGGCCAGUUCAGAUCGAUUUUGACUGGGUUUUUUUUUUUUUUUGUGUUACUUUUACUUUCUUCAUUUUUUCUGGCAGCUUUGAUCGAUUUGGGCUGGACUAGGGAGCCAACAAGCCAAGCUAGCUAGGUUCUGCCUGUAAUGACCCAGGCUCGAACAAUAUUUUUGGCUCAACAAGGCAUGCCAAACUGAGCCCACUAGCUUCUUUACUAAAGAAGCCACGGUCAAGCUAGACAGGCUUGUCUUGAGCUCAAGUUGUGCUUCUUUAAUAUGUGUGUGUGUGUGUGAGUGGGAUCUCACUUUUAUAUGCCAGCUAAUGUACGAAGUAGUGUAUCCAACAGCCCAGAUUCAAUGACAUAUUGGAUGGCCACAAUCACAUGUAUUUGAAUUUUAUUUUAUUUUCCAAAUCCCAUUCUGAACCACAUAAUGAAGAUCUGAUGGCUCUCAUUCCACCUAUAUUACCAUUCAUUAUAGCUAGCCAGCUAUUGUAAGGUUUACUCAUAUAUAUAUAUAUAAUUGUAUACUUUGAGACCAUUUAUCUU
This 542-nucleotide long non-coding RNA is filed under the name Amborella trichopoda. RNAcentral describes it as "long non-coding RNA (ATRI_LNC002572)". Lineage: Eukaryota; Viridiplantae; Streptophyta; Magnoliopsida; Amborellales; Amborellaceae. The record is from RNAcentral.